This 1113-nucleotide ribosomal RNA is filed under the name Pleosporales sp. A14. RNAcentral describes it as "eukaryotic LSU rRNA". The stretch from base 507 to 1113 matches the Rfam family "Eukaryotic large subunit ribosomal RNA", at positions 1 to 623 of the family's 3401-position model. Lineage: Eukaryota; Fungi; Ascomycota; Dothideomycetes; Pleosporales. The record is from RNAcentral.
AGGUGAACCUUCGGAAGGAUCAUUACCGUAACGCGGCGGUCCGGCAACCGCAAGGAAGUCGGCCGCCACACGCGUUUAUCACCCUUGACUUUGAGCACCUUUCGUUUCCUCGGCGGGUUCGCCCGCCAGCGAGGACCCCCACAAACCCUUUGUAAUAGCAAUAUUCGUCUGAAAAACAACCAAUAAUCAAAACUUUCAACAAUGGAUCUCUUGGUUCUGGCAUCGAUGAAGAACGCAGCGAAAUGCGAUAAGUAGUGUGAAUUGCAGAAUUCAGUGAAUCAUCGAAUCUUUGAACGCACAUUGCGCCCCUCGGUAUUCCGUGGGGCAUGCCUGUUCGAGCGUCAUUUAACCCCUCAAGCCUAGCUUGGUAUUGGGUGCUUGUCCCGCCUCUCGCGCGGCGACUCACCUCAAAGUCAUUGGCAGCCCGCAUCUCGCCGGCCGUGAGCGCAGCACAGACGCGCUCUUGGCAACGACGGAUCGGCUCUCCAAAAGCUUAUUUCAACCACUGACCUCGGAUCAGGUAGGGAUACCCGCUGAACUUAAGCAUAUCAAUAAGCGGAGGAAAAGAAACCAACAGGGAUUGCCUCAGUAACGGCGAGUGAAGCGGCAACAGCUCAAAUUUGAAAUCUGGCCCUUUCAGGGUCCGAGUUGUAAUUUGCAGAGGGUGCUUUGGUGUCGGCCGUGGUCUAAGUUCCUUGGAACAGGACGUCACAGAGGGUGAGAAUCCCGUACGUGGCCGCCGGUCUUCACCGUGUAAAGCCCCUUCGACGAGUCGAGUUGUUUGGGAAUGCAGCUCUAAAUGGGAGAUACAUUUCUUCUAAAGCUAAAUAUUGGCCAGAGACCGAUAGCGCACAAGUAGAGUGAUCGAAAGAUGAAAAGCACUUUGGAAAGAGAGUCAAAAAGCACGUGAAAUUGUUGAAAGGGAAGCGCUUGCAGCCAGACGUGCCCGCAGUUGCUCACCUGGGCUCUCGCCCGGGGCAUUCUUCUGCGGGCAGGCCAGCAUCAGUUCGGGCGGUUGGAUAAAGGCCUCUAUCACGUAUCUUCCUUCGGGAUGACCUUAUAGGGGAGGCGCAACACGACCAGCCUGAACUGAGGACCGCGCAUCAGCUAGGA